UGGGACCCCCUAUUCAGCACUUCUGCAUUGGGGUUUGGCUGCUGGAGCUGCAGUUUGUACUCCGGCCGCUCUCUUUGCUUGGGAAACGUCGCCAACGCCACCAGGUGAAGCGGCACCGGCUGCUGCCAGGUUUUUCGGAGCAAAGCCCCCUGCCCACCUGCGAGCCUGCCUGCCCCGCUGGAGCCCGGGCACCGCCAGCUCCGACCUGGAGGUGACAAAGGCGAGCAGAGCCCCGUGUCGCAGCAGGACGGGGACAUCGCAUCAGGACGGGGACCCGGCAGGGUUUCCACAUCGUAUCGAGGAGGCAGGCAAGUUGCACCUCUCCAAGACUUCAUGGAACACGUGGCAGUAAACAUAUUAGCAUGUUAAAGAAGUGGCCUUAUCAAAAAGUUAAUCGCUUCCAGCAGUACACUGUGAAGUGAGUGGGAUACCUGCCAGUCUCGAGUCUUCCUUAAAGCCCAUGCCAACUGGCCUAGCUCUAAACUUUUCCUUGAAAUCUGGCUGGCAGGGUUGGCCAGCUGGACGUUCCCCACGGCCCAGGGUCGGGGCAAGCAUCUCCCUUGCCUGUUCAAGCAUACCAAGUAUCAUAUGGCAGUCUGAACAGCCAGUCAGUGGUAAAAAAUCAAAAAGAUGGCAUCAUGUGGGGAAUACAGGCUGGAACUCCUGCCUCUGCUGAUUAUUAAUGCUACAUCGCCAGAGCCACGUCUCCUUUCUCUGUCUGCAUUGCAUGGGUCCACUUGCAGAAGAACCACUGCCUCGGAUUCGAGGUUUCUGUCUUUCUUGGGUGGCUCUAGACCUUUGUUUCUCUUCUACCAGUAGCAUAUUUUUGUAAUUUAUUGAAUUACCUCAGUGCCAUAAAGUAAUAUCAGGCAUUACACCUCCCUUGUGGCAUGGCACCAACGCUAAAACGUGCUGGCAUGUUCUCUUCAACUUUGUAAUACAUAAGCCUAGGGUGAGCUGGUUUGAGCUGAAAAGUGACCAAGAGCUUAGUUUAUCCAAGUCAGCUUUGAAACAAUUGUGGUUUUAGGUAUUUUUCUACAUUUGGUAGGGAAUGGGCUGAGAGCAGCCAUCAGGAGGGAAUGAAUCUGUUCUCCUGGGUUACUGUGUCCGGGCCAGGUCGGCUGCUGCCGAGCCCUGUGGUUUUGGCAUCUUGCAAACCUGCGUGAAAUCAGAUCGGGGAUUAUCCUCGGCACAGGAUGCUCUCCCCAGCAUUGUUUUAUGGUACUUUGUUUGUUUAUCUAUCUUGGUUUUCCUGAAUUUGUUUUAACUGAUGCUUUUUAGCAGUGCUUGGAAUAUUCCAGUACAAAAAAGAUACACAAGAUUAUUUGAAGCCUGAAGUCUUAGCCUCCAGGAUUGCUCGUGUCCAGUGAGGCUGGUGAAGGAGUGCACGAGGACAGAGAAGACCAGAAUGUUCAUGUGCUCCAAGCUUCUGGGAACUCACAGGAGUACAGAUAAAUGAAAAAUAUGUUCUCAGUAAGAUUUCCCCACUGAGCAACAUUUGUCUUUUCUGUGUAGAUGAGUGGCUCAAAGCAACGUGGAUGCUGCAUGCCGGGCACUGCGCUCCCUUCCACUCUGCAGUGGUGUAAGCGAUGAGCAGAUGGUGCAGUGCAGUGGAAAAUCGUGUCUCCAAGAAAAUGCAAAGAUGAGAACAAAACACCCUUAAGCAGAAAGCUACAUGACUUAUUUCAGUAUAAAAUGAAAAACUGAGAUCCUUGGGCAAAAAAUAGAAAAUAGGAGUUGUGUAUUCCACUUACGUGCAAUGCCUCAUUCCUUCUCAUUUGAGAAAACAUCCAUCCCUUCACAGCUGAAGGCUUCCUUAUCUCAUUUGUUGUCUUUCAGUUCAUUGAUCUUCUUCCUCAGUGCUCUCACGUGACUGUUCUUUGUUGAACUAACAACCAUGCUUAUCUCUGAAUUUUCUUUCAUUUUUAUUUUCUUGCUCACUGAAGGCGAAUCUUUUAGAAUCUCUUCUCACUGAGGCUGCAGCAUGACCUGAAUUGCAUCCAUCAUUGUUUAACUGCACUGAGCCCUAAACAGCCAGCCAAGAUAGGUAAGAACAUAAUGCGAAAACUUUAGUUCUGGUUUUAAAUUCGUUAAUAUAAAGGUAAAUUACUCCUGUAAAUGUGACCGUUUAUUCCAUUAAGUUGUUUAUUUGUGCAGUCUCCCAUCAAGUUAUUUAUUCGUGCAGGCCCCCACCUCACUGUGCCUCCCUGCCAAAAGUAAAACUUUUAAUGGCCCAGCCAGGUUCCAGCCCCCGACAUUCCCCUGGUGCUUGAGUAAGGACCAGGGCAGGGAAACUCCUCCUGCACUCUGCGCUGUCUGGUGUUAAAGAACUAUUGGAUUACAGCUCAGCUGGCUGCGUUUUGGUGACCUAGAUCAUGUUUGUGCUAGCAGAAAAAUAAUUUAACAAACCUUGGUAUAAAAGCUUAGCCAUGAUUAAAAUGGGAUGUAUUUAUUUAUUUGGAGCACAACGACCAGAGCAAAGUAUUGGCAGUAAUGAUAAGCCCCUCGUCACUGGUGUAGUUGGAAUAGUUACUCUGAGCUGGUAUUUUGAUGUCUGCUUUUUGUAUCUCUUUAGCGUUAUUAUAUUUAAAAUGGAAUUCUACAUUAUUACCCAUCUUUCACUAACAUUAAAAUCAAUUUUUUAAUUUUAAGACAUAGAAGGUUCAAUAGUUUUCAUUUAAUUUUCAGUCUUGGCAGUGACAAAGAGGUAAUUUAUGUAUCGGAGAAUCAGGAACUUACUUUAUUAACUUUCUCCUCAGAAAUAUUUAGCUUUAAGAAAGGGUAACGCAUGUGUUCAUGUAUCCGUGUGUUAGCAUGCCCUCUCCUCCUCAACUCCUUCAGUACCAAAACAGUAAAGAUAAAUAAUGCAAGGCCUUUGCCUGGGAGAGCUUGCUAUUUAAUUCAUGUGUGCUGUAGUGAAGGGUCAGAAAAAGACUGGAACUGGAAUGUGGGAAGAAUAAAACAGUAAUGUCUUUGCCUGUAAGUCAUGGUCAUUAAAGGUUGCAUGGGGCGAUUUGUAGGAAUGACAAGUGCUGCUUACUUUCUGGCCCUCUGGCACUGCAUUUUUUUUGGCAUUCAGUUCCAGAUUACUGCUGAGAGUGCAUAUGAAGGUUUUUUUUUUUUUUUAAAUCUGGAAACAGCAGCAUCUGUACCUGCUUCUGCAGUGACUCCCCUGUAUAAUUUGUGUUUUAACUGGAAUUUGUAGAGUUCUUGUGGAUCCCUCUGAAGGUCAUGCCCAACUAGGAAUCAAAUCCAUUCACCACAAGGGCACUGAAAGGAGUCUUAAACGGAUAUGUAUCCAGAGAAUUAUCUCAUGUUGGAGGCUCAUUUCCCCUUGAGGACCAAGGGGAAUAUCCACUUAAAAAUUAAAAAAUAAUUGGAACUAACAGAAUGUAUGUGGAUAGCCUGUUGCCUCUGCUCUGUGGCACAGUUCUUGCCCCUACCAUCUGGCCUGUCCCGACUUCGUAGAGGAAUAUAAACAUGAAGAAUUUCAAAAGCGUAACAGAGACUGUGGUACAUCAAAAGCCAUUACAAUUCAUUUAGGCUGCCUGGAAAUGUAAGAAUAAUGACACAGUGUAUGUGCUUAUACAGUAGAAGUCACUGUUGAGAUUUUUCAAAUCCCAUUGCAAUGAAUUGAAGCCGCAUGUCCAGAGCCUCUAAACUGCUGCUAUGACAAUAAAAGCUGAUAUGCAUAAAACCAUCCAUGAUUUAAAGUAAGUGAUCUACAGGGUAGAGUAAGUAAUGCAUAUACGAAUAUUAAUACACUUGGCUUUUGCUGAAGUGAGUGCUACACUUUUUUUUUUUUUUAUAUAGUACCCUAGCUUAUAAACCCUGUUUCUACAUGCAGUACAACCAUAUCCCAGACUCAGAGUGCUUAAUGAGAAACUUGAGGGCUGAAUCUAGAGGGGUCAGAACAAACUUUCCCUGGUAUUUCACUACAGUAGAACAGCUUAGAGAUCAGCGGUGGCUGCUUUCUCCCUAAACACAUCU
This is a non-coding RNA of Anas platyrhynchos (mallard), 3990 nucleotides long. The record is from RefSeq and is a predicted model, not a curated record. Lineage: Eukaryota; Metazoa; Chordata; Aves; Anseriformes; Anatidae.